This 359-nucleotide unclassified non-coding RNA is filed under the name Bombus terrestris (buff-tailed bumblebee). RNAcentral describes it as "misc RNA ENSBTSG00005037394.1". The record is from RNAcentral. Lineage: Eukaryota; Metazoa; Arthropoda; Insecta; Hymenoptera; Apidae.
UAAGAAAUUAUGUCAAAUUUAUGCAACUGCUAUUAUAUCAACCACGUUGAAGUACAACUAUGUACCUGUCUAAUCUACAGGGUAUUGGUUGGAAUGGCUGGUAUAUUUCAAGCACCGCGUAGCCAGGCUUCGAAAUGCAAACGAAACAUAUAGUUAUCGAUUAAACCAGCUCGCGACGUCCAGUUACAAAUCACUCACGCGACCGUGUGUAUAAUGAGCCACGCUGUGGGCAAACUACGCUCGUCGCUCGACUUAUGUUUAUUCCGUUAGCUGCGACGGUUACAUCAUAAACUCGCGUAGGACGAAGCAGAACGAAGGGGAGAAAAACGAAGAGGGAGGAAGGACGAGGAACGGCGAAG